UGUUAUUUAAGAAAUAUUUUUAGGCCUUUUUUACAUAUGCAUGGAUUGAUGUUAAUUGUUAAUGUUCUGACCCUUUGUUCUUCUGACAGUGUUUUAUUAAUAUAACAGUUUUUGAACUGAUCCCUUUAGCACCUGUGAAACUGGAAAAACAUCUGCACAGUGCUAGAUCUGAAGAGGGAAGACUAUAUUAUGAUGGUGAAUGGUAUAUACGUGGACAAACAAUAUGUAUUGAUAAAAAAGAUGAAUGUCCUACAAGUGCUGUAAUUACAACAAUUAACCAUGAUGAAGUU
Molecule: small RNA, 290 nt
Filed under: Pan troglodytes (chimpanzee)
Lineage: Eukaryota; Metazoa; Chordata; Mammalia; Primates; Hominidae
Description: retained intron
Source: RNAcentral